GAGAGGGAGCCUGAGAAACGGCUACCACAUCCAAGGAUGGCAGCAGGCGCGCAAAUUACCCAAUCCCGACACGGGGAGGUAGUGACAAUAAAUAACAAUACGGGGUUCUUUAGGAUCUCGUAAUUGGAAUGAGUACAAUUUAAAUCUCUUAACGAGGAACAAUUGGAGGGCAAGUCUGGUGCCAGCAGCCGCGGUAAUUCCAGCUCCAAUAGCGUAUAUUAAAGUUGUUGCAGUUAAAAAGCUCGUAGUUGAAUUUCGGGGUUAGUAGGUUGGUCAUGCCUCUGGUAUGUACUGGUCUCACUGAUUCCUCCUUCCUUAUGAACCGUAAUGCCAUUAAUUUGGUGUUGCGGGGAAUUUGGACUGUUACUUUGAAAAAAUUAGAGUGUUUAAAGCAAGCUAACGCUUGAAUACAUUAGCAUGGAAUAAUGAAAUAGGACGUUCGAUCUUAUUUUGUUGGUUUCUAGGAUUGACGUAAUGAUUAAUAGGGAUAGUUGGGGGCAUUAGUAUUCAAUUGUCAGAGGUGAAAUUCUUGGAUUUAUUGAAGACUAACUACUGCGAAAGCAUUUGCCAAGGAUGUUUUCAUUAAUCAAGAACGAAAGUUAGGGGAUCGAAGACGAUCAGAUACCGUCGUAGUCUUAACCAUAAACUAUGCCGACUAGGGAUCGGAUGAUGUUAAUUUUUUAAUGACUCAUUCGGCGCCUUACGGG
This 707-nucleotide ribosomal RNA is filed under the name uncultured fungus. Its description in RNAcentral is "SSU rRNA". It matches the Rfam family "Eukaryotic small subunit ribosomal RNA", at positions 386 to 1094 of the family's 1831-position model. Lineage: Eukaryota; Fungi. The record is from RNAcentral.